RNAcentral lists this ribosomal RNA (556 nucleotides) under Camellia oleifera (tea-oil Camellia). RNAcentral's name for it is "eukaryotic LSU rRNA". The stretch from base 213 to 366 matches the Rfam family "5.8S ribosomal RNA". Lineage: Eukaryota; Viridiplantae; Streptophyta; Magnoliopsida; Ericales; Theaceae. The record is from RNAcentral.
UAACAAGGUCUCCGUUGGUGAACCAGCGGAGGGAUCAUUACUGAGUUUACGCUCUACAACCCUUUGUGAACAUACCUACAACUGUUGCUUCGGCGGGUAGGGUCUCCGCGACCCUCCCGGCCUCCCGCCUCCGGGCGGGUCGGCGCCCGCCGGAGGAUAACCAAACUCUGAUUUAACGACGUUUCUUCUGAGUGGUACAAGCAAAUAAUCAAAACUUUUAACAACGGAUCUCUUGGUUCUGGCAUCGAUGAAGAACGCAGCGAAAUGCGAUAAGUAAUGUGAAUUGCAGAAUUCAGUGAAUCAUCGAAUCUUUGAACGCACAUUGCGCCCGCCAGCAUUCUGGCGGGCAUGCCUGUUCGAGCGUCAUUUCAACCCUCAAGCUCUGCUUGGUGUUGGGGCCCUACAGCCGAUGUAGGCCCUCAAAGGUAGUGGCGGACCCUCCCGGAGCCUCCUUUGCGUAGUAACUUUACGUCUCGCACUGGGAUCCGGAGGGACUCUUGCCGUAAAACCCCCCAAUUUUCCAAAGGUUGACCUCGGAUCAGGUAGGAAUACCCGC